GGAUCGACUAUGUCGAAUAAAAUUCUAGGUAGAAUUAUGAUAAUGACAUUGUCUGCCUAUGUGUCUUGACCAAAUUACGUGCCAGCAGUCGCGGUAAUACGUAGAAGACUAGUGUUAUUCAUGUUUAAUCGGUUUAAAGGGUACCUAGACGGUAAAUCAAGCCUAAAAUUAAAUGAAGGGACUAAUUUACUAGAGUUACUUAUGAGGGGGUAUUAAAGUACUGCUGGUGUAGAGAUGAAAUUCUGUCAUACCUCUUUUCAAUAGAAAAACAAUGGCACAGGUAUAGGCGAAAGCAUCCCCUUAUGUGAUAACUGACGUUGAGGGACGAAGGCUUUGUGUAGCGAACAGGAUUAGAUACCCCAGUAGUCAAAGCAGAAAAUGAUGAAUGUCAUAGAUUAGAUAAAUAAGUUUAUUCUAUAAAUGAAAGUGUAAGCAUUCCACCUCAAGAGUAAUUUGGCAACAUUGGAACUGAAAUCAUUAGACCGUUUCUGAAACCAGUAGUGAAGUAUGUUGUUUAAUUUGAUGAUCCGCAAAAAACCUUACCACAAUUUGAAUAUUUAUAUUUUUUUAUUGUUUUCUUUUUAAUUUUCUUCUGAUUUGAUUUUUCUAAAGAAAAAAAGAAAAAAAGAAAAAGAGGCGAUAUGAUAUAUUUACAAGCGUUGCACGGCUGUCUUCAGUUAAUGUCGCGAGACUUUGGUUAGUUCCAUUAAAUUAACGUAAACCCUUACUUUAUUUUUAUAUAGAGUAGUUCCCCGCUAUAUUGGAUAUGAUAAC
Molecule: ribosomal RNA, 774 nt
Filed under: Hypogymnia imshaugii
Lineage: Eukaryota; Fungi; Ascomycota; Lecanoromycetes; Lecanorales; Parmeliaceae
Description: partial 12S ribosomal RNA
Rfam family: Bacterial small subunit ribosomal RNA
Source: RNAcentral